RNAcentral lists this ribosomal RNA (207 nucleotides) under uncultured bacterium. RNAcentral describes it as "partial 16S ribosomal RNA". It matches the Rfam family "Bacterial small subunit ribosomal RNA", at positions 568 to 774 of the family's 1533-position model. The record is from RNAcentral.
CGCGUAGGCGGUUUGAUAAGUCAGUUGUGAAAGCCCGGGACUCAACCCCGGAAGUGCAAUUGAAACUGUCAGGCUUGAGUAUGGUAGAGGGAAGUGGAAUUCCUGGUGUAGCGGUGAAAUGCGUAGAUAUCAGGAGGAACACCGGUGGCGAAGGCGACUUCCUGGACCAAUACUGACGCUGAGGCGCGAAGGUGUGGGUAGCAAACA